This is a long non-coding RNA of Xenia sp. Carnegie-2017, 1513 nucleotides long. RefSeq lists it as uncharacterized. NCBI's taxonomy places the organism in Eukaryota, Metazoa, Cnidaria, Anthozoa, Malacalcyonacea, Xeniidae. The transcript has 2 exons. The record is from RefSeq and is a predicted model, not a curated record.
ACAAAAAAGGUGGGGCCAAUUAUCGUUUCCACCCGUUUACAGGAAAUGAAUUUUUAAAAUCACUCACGUAUGUGGGAUGUACAUGUGAAUCCACCACAUGCAUGUGGACGUCACAAGGCCACUUUAAAAGAAAGCGGAUUCAAAAAUAUCGAGAUACGUGUUGACGGGUCAUAAACAUUAUACCGACUGUAUGAAUACAAGUGAUCAAAUUGCAUUAAACCAUUCAGUCAAUGCCAAUCAUCCCAGAGACAAGAAAUUAGAACAGUUGAUUAAACUGUCUGAGAUCUCACUAUGGUACUCUCACGAUAUUUCCAAAACGUCUAUCCUUCCUUUAUUUACGGAUUCCUUAUUCUUACAAGUUUGAUCUCAGUAUAUCCAGUGACCAAUACUGGUGAUUUUUUGGAAACGCGCAAUUCGACUCAACCAAAUCAUAUAAAUAACUCAAGGAAUUCAUCUGGUUUACGCAAUCAAAGUGCUAUCCGCUUAACAUACUAAAACAAGGAAGGAGGAUUACAAUCUUAAGCUUAUGCAUAGCUGAUUUUACUGCAACUUUAUCACAAUUCAUGAUUGUUGGAUUGGGUAGAUUGUUCGAGGUCAAACCAUCAGAAGCUGUCAUUUAUUCUGUCCUUUUCUUUUGGAUUGCGGGCUCAUUUUUUCACUUGACAUCACUCACAUGGCAAACUUACAUGAUUGCAAAGUAUCCCAAAUACAGACAACAAAUGUUAUCUACGAAGAAAAUUUACAUAUUAUGCGCCACAGUUUGGUUGAUUGCCAUUUGCAUGGCAUUUGGUGAACUCACAUCAAUUUUUGUCGAGAAAUUUGACCACGUUAUGUACACUUAUAUCACGCUAUAUGCCGUUUUGGAGAUUGCUGUUUUGAUCCAGGUUAUUGGGAAGUGUUUAAUACUUAUAGUAGUAUGGCAAAAUCAAUAAAACACGACAGUAAAUGCUAAACAGCAGAAUAGAAAACAUCUGGAAAUGGUAAAGACAAUUAUCUUGCUAAAUAUCCUAUUACUGGUAACUGCGUUUCCUUUUUUUGUGGCCAAACAAGUGGAGUUUAUUCAAAGGCUUGGAAAAAUACAAAGUGAAUUGGCUGGGCGUUUUUCUUACUACUACGAACCAGUCGCCAAGGUGAAUUUCGCUGUCAAUCCAAUUGUGUAUGCACUGAGGCUUCCCGAUUAUCGAAACAGUCUGAAGGCGUUGUUUAAAAAGAACAGUUUUAUUUCUACUGAUACAGCACAGCAAUCGACAACCUCGUUCCGUUCUGCUGAUGAAACGAUUGCUUUGUAGAUAAUAUGCGUUGAUUAAUAUGCAUUUAUAAUCAUAUAUAACUUGAUUACAAAUAUAUAUAAUGAUUAUGUUUUUAAUAUAGGUAAUAACAUAAACUUUAGUAGAAUUUGUAGUUAUACUUUUGUGUAAUUUUUAGUGUAAUGUUUGGAUUUGUAGCCAAUUUAGCCUGCAACAAACUAUUUUGAUAACCACAUCAAAACAUAGUACAAUAUCGUAUCUAAUAA